Molecule: ribosomal RNA, 645 nt
Filed under: uncultured fungus
Lineage: Eukaryota; Fungi
Description: eukaryotic LSU rRNA
Rfam family: 5.8S ribosomal RNA (bases 168-321)
Source: RNAcentral
CGUAGGUGAACCUGCGGAAGGAUCAUUAUAGAUUCUUUUGGCUGUGCGCCGCGAGGCCGCACGCCGAAAUCCAAUCGCACACACCCGUGCACUUCGGUCGUGGUAAAACGCGGCCGCCUUCACAUUUAACAAGUAAAACCCGAAUGUAACAAACCAUAAAAUAAUACAACUUUUAACAACGGAUCUCUUGGCUCUCGCAUCGAUGAAGAACGCAGCGAAAUGCGAUACGUAAUGUGAAUUGCAGAAUUCAGUGAAUCAUCGAAUCUUUGAACGCACAUUGCGCCCGCCAGUAUUCUGGCGGGCAUGCCUGUUCGAGCGUCAUUUCAACCCUCGCGCCCAUCUGGGCUGCGGUGUUGGCCAGCAGCUUUACCCAGUAAGGCUGCGGCCCAAAUUCAGUGGCGGUCUCGCUGCAACUUCCCCUGCGUAGUAGCACACCUCGCAUCGGAAAGCAGCCUGGCCUCGCCGUAAAACCCCAACUUUAGAAGUUUGACCUCGGAUCAGGUAGGAAUACCCGCUGAACUUAAGCAUAUCAAUAAGCGGAGGAAAAGAAACCAACAGGGAUUGCCCUAGUAACGGCGAGUGAAGAGGGGAGAGCUCAAAUUUGAAAUCUGGCGGCCUCAGUCGUCCGAGUUGUAAUCUAGAGAG